Parelaphostrongylus tenuis is the source of this 71-nucleotide non-coding RNA. The record is from the annotation of a GenBank genome assembly. Lineage: Eukaryota; Metazoa; Nematoda; Chromadorea; Rhabditida; Metastrongylidae.
ACCCUGGUGGUACAGCGGUAACACGUGCCUCCCACAUGGGUAAAGCACUGGUUCAACCCCCGUUUGGGAUU